GAAUUCGCCCUUAGAGUUUGAUCCUGGCUCAGGACGAACGCUGGCGGCGUGCCUAACACAUGCAAGUCGAACGGAGAUGUUUAUUUCGGUAGAUAUCUUAGUGGCGCACGGGUGAGUAACGCGUGAAUAACCUGACCCGAAGAGGGGGAUAACACCUGGAAACAAGUGUUAAUACCGCAUAAGACCACGGACCGGCAUCGGUCAGAGGUCAAAGGAGGAAUCCGCUUUGGGAGGGGUUCGCGUCCCAUUAGGUAGUUGGUGAGGUAACGGCCCACCAAGGCAACGAUCGGUAGCCGGACUGAGAGGUUGAACGGCCACAUUGGGACUGAGACACGGCCCAGACUCCUACGGGAGGCAGCAGUGGGGAAUAUUGCACAAUGGGGGAAACCCUGAUGCAGCGACGCCGCGUGGAGGAAGAAGGUCUUCGGAUUGUAAACUCCUGUUGUUGGGGAAGAUAAUGACGGUACCCAACAAGGAAGUGACGGCUAACUACGUGCCAGCAGCCGCGGUAAAACGUAGGUCACAAGCGUUGUCCGGAAUUACUGGGUGUAAAGGGAGCGCAGGCGGGAAGACAAGUUGGAAGUGAAAUCUAUGGGCUCAACCCAUAAACUGCUUUCAAAACUGUUUUUCUUGAGUAGUGCAGAGGUAGGCGGAAUUCCCGGUGUAGCGGUGGAAUGCGUAGAUAUCGGGAGGAACACCAGUGGCGAAGGCGGCCUACUGGGCACCAACUGACGCUGAGGCUCGAAAGUGUGGGUAGCAAACAGGAUUAGAUACCCUGGUAGUCCACACCGUAAACGAUGAUUACUAGGUGUUGGAGGAUUGACCCCUUCAGUGCCGCAGUUAACACAAUAAGUAAUCCACCUGGGGAGUACGACCGCAAGGUUGAAACUCAAAGGAAUUGACGGGGGCCCGCACAAGCAGUGGAGUAUGUGGUUUAAUUCGACGCAACGCGAAGAACCUUACCAAGUCUUGACAUCCCUUGACAGACAUAGAAAUAUGUAAUCUCUUCGGAGCAAGGAGACAGGUGGUGCAUGGUUGUCGUCAGCUCGUGUCGUGAGAUGUUGGGUUAAGUCCCGCAACGAGCGCAACCCUUAUGGUCAGUUACUACGCAAGAGGACUCUGGCCAGACUGCCGUUGACAAAACGGAGGAAGGUGGGGAUGACGUCAAAUCAUCAUGCCCUUUAUGACUUGGGCUACACACGUACUACAAUGGCGUUAAACAAAGAGAAGCAAGACCGCAAGGUGGAGCAAAACUCAGAAACAACGUCCCAGUUCGGACUGCAGGCUGCAACUCGCCUGCACGAAGUCGGAAUUGCUAGUAAUCGUGGAUCAGCAUGCCACGGUGAAUACGUUCCCGGGCCUUGCACACACCGCCCGUCA
RNAcentral lists this ribosomal RNA (1380 nucleotides) under uncultured bacterium. Its description in RNAcentral is "bacterial SSU rRNA". It matches the Rfam family "Bacterial small subunit ribosomal RNA". The record is from RNAcentral.